Daktulosphaira vitifoliae (grape phylloxera) is the source of this 1193-nucleotide RNA transcript. RefSeq lists it as uncharacterized. The transcript has 6 exons. The record is from RefSeq and is a predicted model, not a curated record. Lineage: Eukaryota; Metazoa; Arthropoda; Insecta; Hemiptera; Phylloxeridae.
UCCAUAACCGCCGGUUGAAUGACGCCGACCGCUGGCUUUCGUGAACAUUGUCCGCCAGCCACAAGGCAUAUAUACCCUUCAUCGUCGUCUGCCGUGGAGAAGGUGAACGGAGGGGUCACCAUCUGGGGAAUCACCAUCGGUUCUAAUUGUCAAAUCGCAUUACCAGUUUUCGGUACUUUAUUUUUGGCCAUUGGUGUGGUCCUUACAGUUAUAUCAUAUCGUUGGGUAAGUAGUGACGACGAACAAAAGAAGAAAUUUUACUCGAAUUCUGACAAUGGCCGCUUACUUGGUCCAAUAUGUUUAAUCAUGUCUGUUAUAAUGUUCACUGGAACUACAAUUCUGCGAAUGGUCAGCGCUAAAGCAAGAUUACGGCAAACCCGAGUUGGGUUUCAUUGUCCAGUCCAUGGCGAUUUUUUUCCUAUUAGCCCAGGACUGGACCCAAGAAAAUUCUCCUUCUCCGCAGAAAAUAUAGCUCAAACCCCUUGGUCGUGUCUGGAUUUAUUAAAACGUAGAGGUUCGCAAGAAACAUUAGCCAUUGAUGAUUUAUCACCACAAUGCCCUCAUAAUAACAACCACGGAAGUACACGGAGUCCUAGUCCUACAUCUUCCUGUCCAACCCCUAAACCGUUUUUAAUAUUCACCGACUCUGAACAUGGAGGUAGUAGAGAACUAGUCGCAGGAAACACAUUAUUUCCUGAUGAACCUUUUGGGUCCAUCCGCUCUCUCUCGGUAACCAAUGAUGCACUGGCAGUGGCCUGUUUCCCAGUAGCACAAAAAGAUAAUCUUUGUGUUCCCGAAGAAUCAUGGUCACAUAAAAGAAUGAGCUGCCCGAGUUUACCAUCGACUGGAGGCGAGUUUCCACAACCGGAGCCAACAAAACCAUUGACUCCUCAAGUCGUCAAAGUGGUCCGUGAGAUCCGAUUCGUCACGCCCAUUGAAAAGAAUAAUUAUUAAAUAAACAACUACCAUUACAUUAUACUUUUGUAUAUUUGAAUUCAAUCAACAUAUCAUCUAGUACAACAUAUAAUUAUUCUAAAUAAAUUAGAUUCUUGGUGAGAAAUAUUGGGGAUGGUCAUCUAUAAAAUAACUAAAUUGAAAAAUACAAGAGAUAUUCAAUAAAGCCCAGAAAUUUCUGUGAACAUUUUAUUAUCAAAAAGAUUUGUGUUAUCUUUGUGUUUUUUUUAAUUUUUGGG